GUGCAAUGUUACAAGUCAUAUUUAAAUAAUUUAUGUCGCAGAGUACCAUAGUUCGUUAGUGGGUUUUUUAACAUCUGCUGAAGAAAAAAACGAUUGGGCUAUUACUGUUGGCCUUUCAAGUUUCAUCAGAAUAUGUAUGGGCGAGCAAAGGCUCAGUCAGGAGGAGUUGGAGGGUUGGAUUUGCAAACAUCUGCCCGUGCGCUUCCAAAGGAGACCUAACAACUCAAGAGUAGCUGCUUCACGAAUGAAUCUACUAUCGAAUCGGGAUCGCGUCCCGCCGAGAAGAUCCGGCAAGAAACUCAGCGGGCUGAUGUUGAUUAGUUGGUCGAAGAAUCAGUUACAAGAACAUGUGAUUGAUUCACGAAAGAAAUCGGCAGAACGACAGUAUUAGUACAAGUAAACUUAACCAGUGCUCAAAAUGGGAAUUAGGCAGAAGCGUAGAGAAACUUCGGU
Molecule: long non-coding RNA, 453 nt
Organism: Bombyx mori (domestic silkworm)
Lineage: Eukaryota; Metazoa; Arthropoda; Insecta; Lepidoptera; Bombycidae
Exons: 3
Source: RefSeq, a predicted model, not a curated record